Molecule: transfer RNA, 119 nt
Filed under: Patescibacteria group bacterium
Lineage: Bacteria
Description: tRNA-OTHER
Rfam family: tRNA
About the family: Transfer RNA (tRNA) molecules are approximately 80 nucleotides in length. Their secondary structure includes four short double-helical elements and three loops (D, anti-codon, and T loops).
Source: RNAcentral
GAGCCUGUAGCUCAGCCGGGUCAGAGCACUGCUCUUAUAAGAAGCUGAUUCGUAAGGGUUAGUAUCUCUUGGUUUUCUAAGAGAGGCAGGGGUCCACGGUUCAAAUCCGUGCAGGCUCA